UACGUAGGGUGCAAGCGUUAAUCGGAAUUACUGGGCGUAAAGCGUGCGCAGGCGGUUGUGCAAGACCGAUGUGAAAUCCCCGGGCUUAACCUGGGAAUUGCAUUUGUGACUGCACGGCUAGAGUGUGUCAGAGGGGGGUAGAAUUCCACGUGUAGCAGUGAAAUGCGUAGAUAUGGGGAGGAAUACCGAUGGCGAAGGCAGCCCCCUGGGUUAACACUGACGCUCAGGCACGAAAGCGUGGGGAGCAAACAGG
RNAcentral lists this ribosomal RNA (253 nucleotides) under uncultured bacterium. RNAcentral describes it as "partial 16S ribosomal RNA". It matches the Rfam family "Bacterial small subunit ribosomal RNA", at positions 524 to 776 of the family's 1533-position model. The record is from RNAcentral.